AUUAUUAUUUGUGCUUCUCUUCUUCCUCCCACCCUCCACCCUCAAGUAGACCCCAGUGUCUUUCAUUCCCCAAAAGCUAACAUUUUAAACCAGCCCAAAAUAUAAUAAUUUUAAUCUGAAGUGGCAUGUGAUUUCUGUUAAUGAUAAAAAAGAUAACAUUUGAAAAGGAGUCCUUUUGAUAACCCAUGUAUUAAGGACUAAAUGUUUGUACCUUCUCCCACCCCCAGAAUCAUAUGUGAAACCCUAACAACCAAUGUGAAUGUAUUUGGAGAUAGGGUCAUAAGCAGAUGGUAGAGUUUAAAUGAGGUCAUAAGGGUGGAGCCCUAAUCUGAUAGAGCUGUUGCACUUUUCAGAAGAGGAAGAGAUACUGGAACGUGUCUCUGUCUGUGUGCAUUCAGAAAGAAGGCCAUGUGAUACAGUUUGGAUGUUGCCUCCAACCAAAUGUCAUGUCAAAAUGUAAUCUUCAGUAUUGGAGGGGAGGCAUGGUGGGGGGAGAUUGGGUCCCCCCACCCAGUGGAGGCAAGUUUCUCAUGAAUGGUUUAGCACCAUCCCCCUUGGUACUGUCUUCACAAUAGUGAGCUCUCAUGAUAUUUGGUCAUUUAAAAGUGUGUAGCACUUCCCCCUUCACGUUCUCUUGCUCCUGCUCUGGCCAUGUGACAUGCCUAUUCCCUCUUCACCUUCUGGCAUGACUGUUAAGUUUCCUGUGGCCUCCCUGGAAGCUGAGCAGAUUCCAUCAUCAUGCUUCCUGUACAGUCUGCAGAACCAUGAGCCAAUUAAGCCUCUUUUCUUUAUAAAUUACCCAGUCUGAGGUACUUCUUUAUAGCACUGCAAGAAUGGACUAAUACGCUAUGUGAAGACAAAGGGGAUGUCUGCAAGCCAGGACGAGUGCGUCUACCAGAAACUGAGUUCUGCUGGACUUUGAUCUAGGACAUCCAGCCUCCAGAAUGGAAUGUGCCAUAUGUGGAGACCUGCAUGGAAAGGAACUGAGGAUGCUCUCUCACUAAAAGCUAGAAGGAACUGAGGCCCUCAGUCAACAGUCUACAAGACACUGAAUCUUGCCAGCAGCCAAGCAGUGAGCUUGAAAGCAGAUCUAUCAUCAGCUGAACCUUCAGAUGAGACCGCAGCCUAAGCAGAUACCUUGGUUGCAGCCAUGUGAGACAACCUGAAACAGAGGGCACAGCUAAGCCUCAGCCAGGUUCAUGACCCUCUGAGGAAACUGUGAGAAAGCAAAUGUCAUUUUAAGCUAUUUAAUUUUGGAGGUAGUUUAUUACACAACAAUAAAUAACUAUUAUAAUUAUCUUGAGGAUUUAUUUCCUGGGGAGAAUACAUGGAAUUGCAUAUAUAGGUCCUCAUAUGCAGAAUACUGGUACCCUAGAGAUGUUCACCCCAGAGAUGUUUUAGGAACCUGUGAAUAUGUUACAUUAAAUGGCAAAGUUUUCCUGGAUGGUUUAAGUUUAAGAUGGAAAAGUUUUACUGGAUUAUCCAGUGGGUCCAAUCUAGUAACAUGAGUCCUUAAAAAUGGAGAAUAUUUUUUGGCCAUGAUCAGAGAGACAUGUGAUGAUGGAAAAAGUGUCAGAGAUGCAAUGUGAGGGGACUAAAACUGCUGUUGCUGACUUUAAAGAUGGAGAGAGGGGAACCCGAGUCAAGGAAUGCAAAUGGCCUCUGGAAGCUGGAAAAAGCAAGAAAUGGAUUCUCCUUUAGAGCCUGUGGAAUAAAAUGCAGUCAUGCUGACACCUUGAUUUUACCUCAGUGAGACCAAUACUGGAGUAUGACCUUCGGAGCUCGCAAAGGCCACAUAAGGACAGUGAGAAGGCAGCCACCUGCAAGCCAGGAAGAAAGGUCUCACCAGAUACCAACCCUGCCAGCAUGUUGAUCUUGGACUUCCAGCCUCCAAAACUGGCCUUCUGCUCACAUGGGCUUCCGUGCACCUGCUUCAGGAGACAGCAACACUUGCGCCCGCACCGCGGCAGGCUCCCAUCACCUGGUGGAUAUGCCGCGCCGAGUCUCAUCACACCUUAGUGAAGGAACACAUGGACCCAUAUGUUAGCGGAUGUAUUUACAUCGUUUUAUACAGAAAGGGGAAGAAAACUGCAUACCUCAGAAAGGGGUUGCUCCUCACUCUGAGUACUAGACUAAAGAUAAAAAGACUAGAUAAAAGUACUAGACUAAAGACAGAGCUGACCCAUGACAGAUGGAGUCUUGCUCUGUCACACAUGCUAGAGUCCAGUGGUAUGACCUCAGCUCACUGCAAUCUCUGCCUCCCGGGUUCAAAUGAUUCUUCUGCCUUGACCUCCCUGGCAGCUGGGACUACAGGCCUGCACCACCACGCCUGGCAAAUUUUUUAAUUUUUUUUAGUAGAGAUGGGGUUUCACCAUGUUGGCCAGGCUAGUCUCGAACUCCUGACCUCAAAUGAUCUGCCCGCUUUGGCCUUCCAAAGUUCUGGGAUUAUAGGAGUGAGCCACCAUGCCCAGCCUGUUCUUAAGUCUCCUAGAACAGGGAUUCUGAAACACAAAACUCAUCUGGCAAAGAGUUCUAAGAUGCAUUUCACAGCACUCCACAGAAGGAAGGUUCAGAGCCAAUCAUCUGCACCAGUGCCCAACUUAAAAACAUCCUUGUAUCAGUUUUCCCUUAUUUCCUGUUCUCCUCCCUAAACCUUCAGUCCUGUUCCUGGCAAUCACUUCCAGAAUAAACCAUAUACAUGCCUCAGAUUCUGAUCUCAGAGGAUCCCAGACUAAUACAGAGAUACACUAUGCUGAUUGCUUAACCCGCAUUUUCUCAUUUAAUUGAAACAUAUACGUGGUAAGGUAUUUAUUCAUACCUGCAUGAUUUUGUAGAUAAACCUUAGAGAAAUUAAUACUUUUCAGAAGGCAAUUAAAGUAACACAGCAAGCAAUUGAUAAAACCUGGAUUCGCCAAGUUAAACUGGUCUGGUUUCAAAACCUGUAUUGUUUCCUAACAUACCACCUAAAUUCUCAAAUGGUAUUGGAAGGGGUUAAAUGAGAUUAUAAAUGUAAAAUUCUUGGUAUAGUUAAUUCUCAAAAAUAGGCCUUCAAUCUAUAGAAUCCAUUUGUAGAACUAUCUUCAGGAAGGAAAAAUACAUCACCCUCCACCCCACCCUCAAAGAAACAUGGAAAAUUUAAACUAAGACUUCAAAUCUUGAGCUCUGCACAUCUUAGAAUAUUUUGUUUCUAUGAAAAAGAAGCUUUGGAGAAUGUGUAUCAGUCUGAAACACUGUAGUGUGAGCACAGAAAUCAGCCCAUCACAUUAUGCCCCAAAUGCUGAAGUACGGCUGAAUCUGAUUGCCCUGCAUUUUUAAGUACUGCAAAAUUCUGGGACUUGGGAUCAUCUGUUACUACAGACUUGUCAUAUUCCACUGAAAUAAAACAUAUAGUCUAAUUUGCAAAGUUCUCGUGUGGAAAGAGUCCUAAAAUGUAUAUAACCUCUGUCCCAGCAAUUCCAUUAGGAAUUUAUCCAAUCCAAAAUCUAAAAUGCAGAAGAUCUACAUAUUGAAUGCUUAUGGCAGCAUUCUUUAAAAUUAUGAAAAUUGAAAGCAACCAAAAUCCUCAAAAACAGACUAAUGGCUAAGUAGUAUAACCAUACUAUGAAAUGUGGUAAUUGAAUAUUCAAAUUUGUGUUGUAUAAAAAAUUAAUAAUGGUAUAACAUUUGGCUAUAAAAUAGAAUGAAUUCAAUUGUAUUUUUUAAACCAGUACAUCUGCAUAUUUGUGAACCUAAAAGAUAAGACGGUAAAUAUUUAACUGUAUUUUUCUUUAAUUGUUGGGGCUGUGAAUUAUUUUAAUUUUCUUAAUGCUUUUUAAUCUUCUCUGAA
Molecule: long non-coding RNA, 3826 nt
Filed under: Homo sapiens (human)
Lineage: Eukaryota; Metazoa; Chordata; Mammalia; Primates; Hominidae
Description: HSALNT0292643
Source: RNAcentral